RNAcentral lists this ribosomal RNA (230 nucleotides) under uncultured bacterium. RNAcentral's name for it is "partial 16S ribosomal RNA". It matches the Rfam family "Bacterial small subunit ribosomal RNA", at positions 8 to 252 of the family's 1533-position model. The record is from RNAcentral.
AGAGUUUGAUCAUGGCUCAAAAUCAACGCUGGCGGCGUGCCUAACACAUGCAAGUCGAACGAGAAAGUGGAGCAAUCCAUGAGUAAAGUGGCGACCGGGUGAGUAACACGUGACUAACCUACCUUUGAGUGGGGAAUAACCUCGGGAAACCGGGGCUAAUACCGCAUAACACCAAGAGGUCAAAGGAGCAAUCCGCUUGAAAAGGGGGUCGCGGCUGAUUAACUAGUUGG